Molecule: ribosomal RNA, 548 nt
Filed under: Apiotrichum porosum
Lineage: Eukaryota; Fungi; Basidiomycota; Tremellomycetes; Trichosporonales; Trichosporonaceae
Description: eukaryotic LSU rRNA
Rfam family: Eukaryotic large subunit ribosomal RNA
Source: RNAcentral
CUCAAAUUUGAAAUCUGGCAGUCUUCGAUUGUCCGAGUUGUAAUCUAUAGAAGCGUUUUCCGUGCUGAACUGUGUAUAAGUCCCUUGGAACAGGGUAUCAAAGAGGGUGACAAUCCCGUACUUUACACAAUCAUCAGUGCUCUGUGAUACGUUCUCUACGAGUCGAGUUGUUUGGGAAUGCAGCUCAAAAUGGGUGGUAAAUUCCAUCUAAAGCUAAAUAUUGGCGAGAGACCGAUAGCGAACAAGUACCGUGAGGGAAAGAUGAAAAGCACUUUGGAAAGAGAGUUAAACAGUACGUGAAAUUGUUGAAAGGGAAACGAAAUUCAUGAAUCAUGUUUAUUGGACUCAGCCGUUCUUCGGUGUACUUCCUUUAAACGGGUCAACAUCAGUUUUGUCCGAUGGAUAAAGGUAGUAGGAAGGUGGCUCUCUCGGGAGUGUUAUAGCCUAUUGCUGCAUACAUUGGAUGAGACUGAGGACUGCAGCUUGCCUUUAUGGCCGGGGUUCGCCCACGUUCAAGCUUAGGAUGUUGACAUAUUCUCGAAUCACGA